RNAcentral lists this ribosomal RNA (437 nucleotides) under Parvocalanus crassirostris. RNAcentral's name for it is "bacterial SSU rRNA". It matches the Rfam family "Eukaryotic small subunit ribosomal RNA", at positions 1354 to 1808 of the family's 1831-position model. Lineage: Eukaryota; Metazoa; Arthropoda; Copepoda; Calanoida; Paracalanidae. The record is from RNAcentral.
ACUAGUCGCGGUGUCUCUUGUGUUGCGCCGCGUUAUUCUUCUUAGAGGGACUGGCGACUCUUAGUCGCACGAGAUUGAGCAAUAACAGGUCUGUGAUGCCCUUAGAUGUUCUGGGCCGCACACGCGCUACACUGAAUAGAUCAGCGUGUUCUUGUCCCUCCCCGACAGGGGCGGGUAAACCGCUGAACCCUAUUCGUGGUAGGGAUCGGGGCUUGCAAUUGUUCCCCGUGAACCAGGAAUUCCCAGUAGGCGCAAGUCAUAAGCUUGCGUCGAUUACGUCCCUGCCCUUUGUACACACCGCCCGUCGCUACUACCGAUUGAAUGUUUUAGUGAGGUCCUCGGACUGUUGCUUUGGCGGGUAACACUGCUUUUGUAGCGGGAAGACGACCAAACUGUAGCAUUUAGAGGAAGUAAAAGUCGUAACAAGGUAUCCGUAG